CAUGUCUGAAGCCAAAACACGAGGACUAGACAUAUUACCACAGGAACCUUCUCAUGCAGUGCUAACGAUCCACAGACUUCUCCCCAAGUCCCUGAGCGUGUUCCCUGCCUUCUAGCUGUUCUUGUGCAGGUGGUUGCAGAGUGGAAGUACGGCUGCUGAAGUUUCCAGUGACGAUGACGAGACCCAGGGCGCUGCCAGCAAAACCAGCAAAACGGAAGAAGUACGAUGCUCCUGCCCCAAAAGCCAAGCGGAGAAAGAAAAGCGCUGAACAAGAGGCAGCUUCCACAGUUUCCUCCAUUUCCACUGCUUCCUCCAUUUCCACAGCUUCCUCCAUUUCCACAGCUUCCUCCAUUUCCACUGCUUCCUCCAUUUCCACAGCUUCCACCAUUUCCACUGCUUCCACCACAGAUGCAGAUGGGUCGGACUCUGACUCUGGAAGAAAAUUGCCUUGGAACUGAUCAAGAGAUGGCAGGAAGUGAACUUUGC
Molecule: long non-coding RNA, 486 nt
Organism: Alosa sapidissima (American shad)
Lineage: Eukaryota; Metazoa; Chordata; Actinopteri; Clupeiformes; Clupeidae
Exons: 3
Source: RefSeq, a predicted model, not a curated record